RNAcentral lists this ribosomal RNA (551 nucleotides) under uncultured bacterium. RNAcentral's name for it is "bacterial SSU rRNA". It matches the Rfam family "Bacterial small subunit ribosomal RNA", at positions 469 to 1017 of the family's 1533-position model. The record is from RNAcentral.
CUGACGGUACCUGACGAAUCAGCAUCGGCUAACUCCGUGCCAGCAGCCGCGGUAAUACGGAGGAUGCAAGCGUUAUCCGGAUUUAUUGGGCGUAAAGCGUCCGCAGGUGGUUUUUCAAGUCUGCUGUUAAAGCGCAGAGCUUAACUCUGUAACGGCGGUGGAAACUGAGAGACUAGAGUAUGGUAGGGGUUGCGGGAAUUCCCAGUGUAGCGGUGAAAUGCGUAGAUAUUGGGAAGAACACCAGCGGCGAAAGCGCGCAACUGGGCCAUUACUGACACUCAUGGACGAAAGCUAGGGGAGCGAAAGGGAUUAGAUACCCCUGUAGUCCUAGCUGUAAACGAUGGGUACUAGGUGUUGACCGUAUCGACCCGGUCAGUGCCGUAGCUAACGCGUUAAGUACCCCGCCUGGGGGAGUAUGCACGCAAGUGUGAAACUCAAAGGAAUUGACGGGGGCCCGCACAAGCGGUGGAGUAUGUGGUUUAAUUCGAUGCAACGCGAAGAACCUUACCAGGGCUUGACAUGUCGCGAAUCUCGGCGAAAGUCGAGAGUGC